GGUGAAAGUCUGUAACUUGGGGGCAGAGCAUCUGCUUUGCAUGCAAAAGGUCGCAGGUUCAAUUCCUGGCAUCUCCA
This is a non-coding RNA of Podarcis lilfordi (Lilford's wall lizard), 77 nucleotides long. The record is from the annotation of a GenBank genome assembly. NCBI's taxonomy places the organism in Eukaryota, Metazoa, Chordata, Lepidosauria, Squamata, Lacertidae.